UUAAAUUGAAGAGUUUGAUCAUGGCUCAGAUUGAACGCUGGCGGCAGGCCUAACACAUGCAAGUCGAACGGUAACAGGAAGCAGCUUGCUGUUUCGCUGACGAGUGGCGGACGGGUGAGUAAUGUCUGGGAAACUGCCUGAUGGAGGGGGAUAACUACUG
Molecule: ribosomal RNA, 160 nt
Filed under: Salmonella enterica
Lineage: Bacteria; Pseudomonadati; Pseudomonadota; Gammaproteobacteria; Enterobacterales; Enterobacteriaceae
Also listed under: 1 other name
Description: partial 16S ribosomal RNA
Rfam family: Bacterial small subunit ribosomal RNA
Source: RNAcentral